UACAGAGGGUGCGAGCGUUAAUCGGAAUUACUGGGCGUAAAGCGCACGUAGGCGGCUUGGUAUGUCGGGUGUGAAAUCCCCGGGCUCAACCUGGGAACUGCAUCCGAAACUGCCUUGCUCGAGUAUGGGAGAGGGAAGUGGAAUUUCCGGUGUAGCGGUGAAAUUCGUAGAUAUUCGGAAGAACACCAGUGGCGAAGGCGACUCACUGGACAUCUGUUGACGCUGAGGUGCGAAAGCGUGGGGAGCAAACAGG
This 253-nucleotide ribosomal RNA is filed under the name uncultured bacterium. Its description in RNAcentral is "partial 16S ribosomal RNA". It matches the Rfam family "Bacterial small subunit ribosomal RNA", at positions 524 to 776 of the family's 1533-position model. The record is from RNAcentral.